AAGGCCUUAAGUUAAUCACUCAAACUAAUAACCUUCAAAGCUAUAAAUAAAGGACUUUCCUUUAGGCCUUG
RNAcentral lists this transfer RNA (71 nucleotides) under Crenetermes albotarsalis. RNAcentral's name for it is "tRNA-Trp". The record is from RNAcentral. Lineage: Eukaryota; Metazoa; Arthropoda; Insecta; Blattodea; Termitidae.